RNAcentral lists this ribosomal RNA (253 nucleotides) under uncultured bacterium. Its description in RNAcentral is "partial 16S ribosomal RNA". It matches the Rfam family "Bacterial small subunit ribosomal RNA", at positions 524 to 776 of the family's 1533-position model. The record is from RNAcentral.
GACGAACCGUCCGAACGUUAUUCGGAAUCACUGGGCUUAAAGGGUGCGUAGGCGGCGCGGAAAGUUGGGUGUGAAAUCCCUCGGCUCAACCGAGGACGUGCAUCCAAAACUGUGGGGCUUGAGUACUGAAGAGGAUCGCGGAAUUCCCGGUGUAGAGGUGAAAUUCGUAGAUAUCGGGAGGAACACCAGUGGCGAAGGCGGCGAUCUGGGCAGAUACUGACGCUGAGGUGCGAAAGCGUGGGGAGCAAACAGG